This is a non-coding RNA of Pelobates cultripes (western spadefoot toad), 216 nucleotides long. NCBI's taxonomy places the organism in Eukaryota, Metazoa, Chordata, Amphibia, Anura, Pelobatidae. The record is from the annotation of a GenBank genome assembly.
GCUAUGAUAAUUUUAUUUAAUAAAAGAUCCAAAAUUUGAUCAGCAGGUUUGUAAAUGAUGAACACGUGCGAUAUAUGCUUAUAGUGCUGGAUUAUAGGACAGACUGUGCUCAAAAUACAAAACAAAGUGUGUAAAUCCAGUCUAAUGAUGUUAGUCCAUUUCCUACAUUCCCCAUCAUUAUAUAUCUGCAAGUGUAGGUGUCUACAGCUGUAAUUC